RNAcentral lists this ribosomal RNA (848 nucleotides) under uncultured beta proteobacterium. RNAcentral describes it as "bacterial SSU rRNA". It matches the Rfam family "Bacterial small subunit ribosomal RNA", at positions 636 to 1485 of the family's 1533-position model. The record is from RNAcentral. Lineage: Bacteria; Pseudomonadati; Pseudomonadota; Betaproteobacteria.
CAUAACUGGAGUACGGCAGAGGGGGAAGGAAUUCCGCGUGUACCAGUGAAAUGCGUAGAUAUGCGGAGGANCMCCGAUGGCGAAGGGCAAUCCCYUGGCCCUGUACUGACGCUCAUGCACGAAAAGCGUGGGGAGCMAACAGGAWUWAGAUACCCUGGUAGUYCACGCCYUAAACGAUGUCAACUGGUUGUUGGGUCUUCACUGACUCAGUAACGAAGCUAACGCGUGAAGUUGACCGCCUGGGGAGUACGGCCGCAAGGUUKGAAACUCAAAGGAAUUGACGGGGACCCGCACAAGCGGUGGAUGAUGUGGUUUAAUUCGAUGCAACGCGAAAAACCUUACCCACCUUUGACAUGGCAGGAAGUAUUCAGAGAUGGAUACGUGCCCGAAAGGGAACCUGCACACAGGUGCUGCAUGGCUGUCGUCAGCUCGUGUCGUGAGAUGUUGGGUUAAGUCCCGCAACGAGCGCAACCCUUGCCAUUAGUUGCUACGAAAGGGCACUCUAAUGGGACUGCCGGUGACAAACCGGAGGAAGGUGGGGAUGACGUCAAGUCCUCAUGGCCCUUAUAGGUGGGGCUACACACGUCAUACAAUGGCUGGUACAGAGGGUUGCCAACCCGCGAGGGGGAGCUAAUCCCAUAAAGCCAGUCGUAGUCCGGAUCGCAGUCUGCAACUCGACUGCGUGAAGUCGGAAUCGCUAGUAAUCGCGGAUCAGAAUGUCGCGGUGAAUACGUUCCCGGGUCUUGUACACACCGCCCGUCACACCAUGGGAGCGGGUUCUGCCAGAAGUAGUUAGCCUAACCGCAAGGAGGGCGAUUACCACGGCAGGGUUCGUGACUGGGGUGAAG